This 464-nucleotide ribosomal RNA is filed under the name uncultured bacterium. RNAcentral's name for it is "partial 16S ribosomal RNA". It matches the Rfam family "Bacterial small subunit ribosomal RNA", at positions 28 to 507 of the family's 1533-position model. The record is from RNAcentral.
GACGAACGCUGGCGGCGUGCUUAACACAUGCAAGUCGAACGGUAAGGCCCCAGCUUGCUGGGGUACACGAGUGGCGAACGGGUGAGUAACACGUGGGUGACCUGCCCCGCACUUCGGGAUAAGCCUGGGAAACUGGGUCUAAUACCGGAUAGGACCGCACCGUGAGGGUGUGGUGGAAAGUCUUUCGGUGUGGGAUGGGCCCGCGGCCUAUCAGCUUGUUGGUGGGGUAAUGGCCUACCAAGGCGGCGACGGGUAGCCGGCCUGAGAGGGUGGACGGCCACAUUGGGACUGAGACACGGCCCAGACUCCUACGGGAGGCAGCAGUGGGGAAUAUUGCACAAUGGGCGGAAGCCUGAUGCAGCGACGCCGCGUGGGGGAUGACGGCCUUCGGGUUGUAAACUCCUUUCACCAUCGACGAAGGUUUUCUGACGGUAGAUGGAGAAGAAGCACCGGCUAACUACGUG